Molecule: ribosomal RNA, 198 nt
Filed under: uncultured bacterium
Lineage: Bacteria
Description: partial 16S ribosomal RNA
Rfam family: Bacterial small subunit ribosomal RNA
Source: RNAcentral
ACGCUCGACACCUACAGGAGGCAGCAGUGGGGAAUAUUGCACAAUGGGGGAAACCCUGAUGCAGCAACGCCGCGUGAGCGAAGAAGUAUUUCGGUAUGUAAAGCUCUAUCAGCAGGGAAGAAAGUGACGGUACCUGAGUAAGAAGCCCCGGCUAACUACGUGCCAGUAGCCGCGGUAAUCUGAGCGGGCUGGCAAGGC